AUAUCCGUAGUGCAGAAUAAAUCGGAUGUUAGUUGAAGGUCAAACUUGGCAAAAAUUUGUUGAAAUUUGAGAACAAAUUUGGUAAAAUUUGGUCAAAGUUAUGAAAUCCUUCCCAAUUUUAACAAUUUAUAAUAUUUGGUUAUGUUUGUCCGAAAAUUUUUUUUAGCUUUUCUAAUGUUAGUCCGGAAAAUUUUGUAUUACCCCCGUGACCUGCCCCCACCCCUCCCCUGUGACCAAAUGCCUUCGCAGCCCGCAUCCAGGCUUUGCCCGCGCCAGGCUAACACGUGCAGGAGAUUUUAGCAAUGGCAAGGAAGUCGAAAGAGCUUCAAUAAAAGCCAACAUUAAAUCGAGUUUCAGAUCAAAAUAUUCGUUCUAAAACCUUUAUUUUUUCGAUUUUAUCCAAGUAUUACCACUUAUCUUUAAAGAAUGGACUUUCUUGUGUUCUUAGCCGUUAAAAAAGGGCUGCAAAUUCCUUCAAAAGAUGCUAUUCUGUGAAGCUUACUGAAUUACAACACGUGGUUGAAGCUUAAGUGUGAUGGUCUUUUCGCCUCGAUACCAGCGCCGUAACCUGUUCAGAAGCUGCUGAAAAUACUCUGGCGUGUCUGCUUCUAAGGUAUU
Non-coding RNA from Paramuricea clavata, 618 nucleotides. NCBI's taxonomy places the organism in Eukaryota, Metazoa, Cnidaria, Anthozoa, Malacalcyonacea, Plexauridae. The record is from the annotation of a GenBank genome assembly.